RNAcentral lists this long non-coding RNA (244 nucleotides) under Panax ginseng (ginseng). RNAcentral's name for it is "long non-coding RNA (PGIN_LNC002442)". The record is from RNAcentral. Lineage: Eukaryota; Viridiplantae; Streptophyta; Magnoliopsida; Apiales; Araliaceae.
AUAUCUGCUUAUUUAAGAAGCACCCAUCUGUACUAAAUUCUUAUUUGCUUAUUUGAGAAGCAUCAAUCUGUACUAAAUUGUUAUCUGCUUAUUUAAGAAGCACAUUGUUGUAAAAUCAUUUGUAAAAAGAGAAAAGGUUAGAGUUAGUUUAUUUUAUAUACCUGUGAGAAAGACGAGUAAUUCUUCGACCAAGACCAGAGUCUUAGAGAGGUCAGCGGGAAGUUGGGUCUCUAGUGUACUUGUG